RNAcentral lists this ribosomal RNA (101 nucleotides) under Dunaliella salina. RNAcentral describes it as "partial small subunit ribosomal RNA". It matches the Rfam family "Eukaryotic small subunit ribosomal RNA", at positions 1661 to 1760 of the family's 1831-position model. The record is from RNAcentral. Lineage: Eukaryota; Viridiplantae; Chlorophyta; Chlorophyceae; Chlamydomonadales; Dunaliellaceae.
UGUACACACCGCCCGUCGCUCCUACCUGAUUGGGUGUGCUGGUGAAGUGUUUGGAUCGGUAUCAAUGGGGGGCAACCUCUGUUGGUACUGAGAAGAACAUU